This 109-nucleotide transfer RNA is filed under the name Candidatus Heimdallarchaeota archaeon. Its description in RNAcentral is "tRNA-Arg". Lineage: Archaea; Promethearchaeati; Candidatus Heimdallarchaeota. The record is from RNAcentral.
AGGCCUGUAGUUUAGCUUGGAUAAAAUGCCUGGCUUCGGACCAGGUGAGCGGCGGUUCAAUGGUCACAAGUUGCGACUUGUGGUCGGGCAAAUCCGUCCAGGCCUGCCA